CCUACGGGACGCUGCAGUGGGGAAUAUUUGACAAUGGGCGAAAGCCUGAUCCAGCCAUGCCGCGUGUGUGAAGAAGGCCUUCGGGUUGUAAAGCACUUUCAGUGGGGAAGAAAGCCUUGGGGCUAAUACCCUCGAGGAAGGACAUCACCCACAGAAGAAGCACCGGCUAACUCCGUGCCAGCAGCCGCGGUAAUACGGAGGGUGCGAGCGUUAAUCGGAAUUACUGGGCGUAAAGCGCGCGUAGGCGGUCUGAUAAGCCGGUUGUGAAAGCCCCGGGCUCAACCUGGGAACGGCAUCCGGAACUGUCAGGCUAGAGUGCAGGAGAGGAAGGUAGAAUUCCCGGUGUAGCGGUGAAAUGCGUAGAGAUCGGGAGGAAUACCAGUGGCGAAGGCGGCCUUCUGGACUGACACUGACGCUGAGGUGCGAAAGCGUGGGUAGCAAACAGGAUUAGAUACCCGUGUAGUC
This 465-nucleotide ribosomal RNA is filed under the name Vreelandella stevensii. Its description in RNAcentral is "partial 16S ribosomal RNA". It matches the Rfam family "Bacterial small subunit ribosomal RNA", at positions 338 to 795 of the family's 1533-position model. The record is from RNAcentral. Lineage: Bacteria; Pseudomonadati; Pseudomonadota; Gammaproteobacteria; Oceanospirillales; Halomonadaceae.